GGAAUAUUGCACAAUGGAGGAAACUCUGAUGCAGUGACACCGCGUAUAGGAAGAAGGUUUUCGGAUUGUAAACUAUUUUAGACAGGGAAGAAAAAAGACAGUACCUGUAGAAUAAGCUCCGGCUAACUACGUGCCAGCAGCCGCGGUAAUACGGAGGAUGCGAGCGUUAUCCGGAUUUAUUGGGUUUAAAGGGUGCGCAGGCGGGCCUUUAAGCCGGCGGUGAAAUCGCGGGGCUCAACCCCGCCGAGCCGUCGGAACUGGGGGCCUUGAGUGCGGCGGAGGCAUGCGGAAUGCGCGGUGUAGCGGUGAAAUGCAUAGAUAUCGCGCAGAACCCCGAUUGCGAAGGCAGCGUGCCGUGCCGCCACUGACGCUGAGGCACGAAAGCGCGGGGAUCGAACAG
Molecule: ribosomal RNA, 400 nt
Filed under: uncultured bacterium
Lineage: Bacteria
Description: bacterial SSU rRNA
Rfam family: Bacterial small subunit ribosomal RNA
Source: RNAcentral